This 419-nucleotide ribosomal RNA is filed under the name uncultured bacterium. Its description in RNAcentral is "bacterial SSU rRNA". It matches the Rfam family "Bacterial small subunit ribosomal RNA", at positions 362 to 793 of the family's 1533-position model. The record is from RNAcentral.
UAUUGCACAAUGGGCGCAAGCCUGAUGCAGCAACGCCGUGUGAGUGAAGAAGGUUUUCGGAUCGUAAAACUCUGUCCUAAGGGAAGAAACAAAUGACGGUACCUUAGGAGGAAGCCCCGGCUAACUACGUGCCAGCAGCCGCGGUAAUACGUAGGGGGCAAGCGUUAUCCGGAAUCACUGGGCGUAAAGGGUGCGUAGGCGGCUUAGCAAGCCAGGGGUGAAAGGCAUUGGCUCAACCAAUGUAAGCCUUUGGAACUGUUAAGCUUGAGUGCAGGAGAGGUAAGGUGGAAUUCCUAGUGUAGAGGUGAAAAUUCGUAGAUAUUAGGAGGAACACCAGUGGCGAAGGCGACUUACUGGACUGUAAACUGACGCUGAUGCACGAAAGCGUGGGUAGCGAACAGGAUUAGAUACCCUUGUAG